UUGCUCCCAUUUCUCAGCGGCGGACGGGUGAGUAACACGUGGGCAACCUGCCCUACAGACUGGGAUAACUCCGGGAAACCGGAGCUAAUACCGGGUAAUACAUAGCAUCGCAUGAUGCAACGUUGAAAGUUGGCCUUUGGCUAACACUGUAGGAUGGGCCCGCGGCGCAUUAGCUAGUUGGUAAGGUAACGGCUUACCAAGGCCACGAUGCGUAGCCGACCUGAGAGGGUGAUCGGCCACACUGGGACUGAGACACGGCCCAGACUCCUACGGGAGGCAGCAGUAGGGAAUCUUCCGCAAUGGACGAAAGUCUGACGGAGCAACGCCGCGUGAGUGACGAAGGCCUUCGGGUCGUAAAGCUCUGUUGUUAGGGAAGAACAAGUACCGUUCGAAUAGGGCGGUACCUUGACGGUACCUAACCAGAAAGCCACGGCUAACUACGUGCCAGCAGCCGCGGUAAUACGUAGGUGGCAAGCGUUGUCCGGAAUUAUUGGGCGUAAAGCGCGCGCAGGCGGUCUCUUAAGUCUGAUGUGAAAGCCCACGGCUCAACCGUGGAGGGCCAUUGGAAACUGGGGGACUUGAGUGCAGAAGAGGAGAGUGGAAUUCCACGUGUAGCGGUGAAAUGCGUAGAUAUGUGGAGGAACACCAGUGGCGAAGGCGGCUCUCUGGUCUGUAACUGACGCUGAGGCGCGAAAGCGUGGGGAGCGAACAGGAUUAGAUACCCUGGUAGUCCACGCCGUAAACGAUGAGUGCUAGGUGUUUGGGGGGGUUCCACCCUCAGUGGCUGAAGUUAACACAUUAAGCACUCCGCCCGGGGGAGUACGACCGCAAGGUUGAAACUCAAAGGAAUUGACGGGGGCCCGCACAAGCAG
This 872-nucleotide ribosomal RNA is filed under the name Bacillus sp. (in: firmicutes). Its description in RNAcentral is "bacterial SSU rRNA". It matches the Rfam family "Bacterial small subunit ribosomal RNA", at positions 79 to 932 of the family's 1533-position model. The record is from RNAcentral. Lineage: Bacteria; Bacillati; Bacillota; Bacilli; Caryophanales; Bacillaceae.